This 500-nucleotide ribosomal RNA is filed under the name uncultured bacterium. RNAcentral's name for it is "partial 16S ribosomal RNA". It matches the Rfam family "Bacterial small subunit ribosomal RNA", at positions 28 to 507 of the family's 1533-position model. The record is from RNAcentral.
GACGAACGCUGGCGGCGUGCUUAACACAUGCAAGUCGAACGGGUCUGCCCUGUUUUUUGCGGGGUGGGUCAGUGGCGAACGGGUGAGUAACACGUGAGUAACCUGCCCCUCACUUCUGGAUAACCGCUUGAAAGGGUGGCUAAUACGGGGUGUUCUGGCUGUGCCGCAUGGUGUGGCUGGGAAAGAUUCACUUUUGUGGUGUUUUGGUGGGGGAUGGGCUCGCGGCCUAUCAGCUUGUUGGUGGGGUGAUGGCCUGCCAAGGCUUUGACGGGUAGCCGGCCUGAGAGGGUGGGCGGUCACACUGGGACUGAGAUACGGCCCAGACUCCUGCGGGAGGCAGCAGGGGGGGGUAUUGCACAAUGGGCGGAAGCCUGAUGCAGCGACGUCGCGUGAGGGAUGGAGGCCUGCGGGUUGUGAACCUCUUUCGCCGGUGAAGAAGGUCCUGCUCUUUGGGGUGGGGUUGACGGUAGCCGGGUUAUGAAGCGCCGGCUAACUACGUG